GCACCCGCGGUAAUUCCAGCUCCAAUAGCGUAUACUAAAGUUGUUGCGGUUAAAAAGCUCGUAGUUGAACUUCUGUACAGUCUCACUUCUGGCUUCGGUCAAGGUGUUGGCUGUACAUCCGCUUGCAAAGCUGGUUCGGCCUUAACUGGUCGGCUAGUAGAGUAAGCCCUUUACUUUGAAAAAAUUAGAGUGUUUCAGGCAGGCAAUGGCUCGAAUACAUUAGCAUGGAAUAAUGGAAUAGGACUUUUGUCCAUUUGGUUGGUUCUUGGACUUAAGUAAUGAUUAAAAGGGACAGUUGGGGGCAUUGGUAUUUGACAGUCAGAGGUGAAAUUCUUGGAUUUGUUAAAGACUAACUUAUGCGAAAGCAUUUGCCAAGGAUGUUUUCAUCGAUCAAGAACGAAAGU
RNAcentral lists this ribosomal RNA (404 nucleotides) under uncultured eukaryote. RNAcentral describes it as "SSU rRNA". It matches the Rfam family "Eukaryotic small subunit ribosomal RNA", at positions 570 to 990 of the family's 1831-position model. The record is from RNAcentral.